Molecule: ribosomal RNA, 483 nt
Filed under: uncultured bacterium
Lineage: Bacteria
Description: partial 16S ribosomal RNA
Rfam family: Bacterial small subunit ribosomal RNA
Source: RNAcentral
AUUGAACGCUGGCGGCAUGCUUUACACAUGCAAGUCGAACGGCAGCGCGGGCUUCGGCCUGGCGGCGAGUGGCGAACGGGUGAGUAAUGCAUCGGAACGUGCCCGGUAGUGGGGGAAAGCCCGCCGAAAGCGGGAUUAAUACCGCAUACGCCCUGAGGGUGAAAGCGGGGACCGAAAGGCCUCCCCCCAUUGGGAGGGCCGAUGUCGGAUUAGCUAGUUGGUGGGGUAAAGGCUUACCAAGGCGACGAUCCGUAGCUGGUCUGAGAGGACGACCAGCCACACUGGGACUGAGACACGGCCCAGACUCCUACGGGAGGCAGCAGUGGGGAAUUUUGGACAAUGGGGGCAACCCUGAUCCAGCCAUGCCGCGUGCGGGAAGAAGGCCUUCGGGUUGUAAACCGCUUUUGUUCGGGAAGAAAUCCUCUGGGCUAAUACCCCGGGGGGAUGACGGUACCGGAAGAAUAAGCACCGGCUAACUACGUG